RNAcentral lists this long non-coding RNA (368 nucleotides) under Ananas comosus (pineapple). RNAcentral's name for it is "long non-coding RNA (ACOM_LNC021626)". Lineage: Eukaryota; Viridiplantae; Streptophyta; Magnoliopsida; Poales; Bromeliaceae. The record is from RNAcentral.
AAGAUUCUAUAAAAAAUAGUGAUAUAGCACUAAAAUUUUCGAAAUUAGAUAUAUUGAUCCUAUUGUAGAUAGUAUAUAAAGAAUUUUGUAUCAAAAUUUCAUUUUAUUUGAAUACUUCUACACCGUCAAACUUGAAAACGACAGAUAUCAACCAUUAAAAAUUAUUGAUUUUGAACCCUUUCGAUCACUAAGUAAAUGAUAUCAAAAAAUAACAAAAAUUAUUUUCUAGAAACUUAUAAUACGCUAGAUAAAGUCUAACGGAGCCGAUCGUCGAUUCGAAAAUUCUAUCAUAAAAAAUGACACAGGAGCACGGAAGCCUAUGUGCUUUUAAGAGCACAAAAGUCCUGCUCUCUCUCUCUCUCUCUCUC